Symphalangus syndactylus (siamang) is the source of this 306-nucleotide long non-coding RNA. RefSeq lists it as uncharacterized. NCBI's taxonomy places the organism in Eukaryota, Metazoa, Chordata, Mammalia, Primates, Hylobatidae. The record is from RefSeq and is a predicted model, not a curated record.
CACUCCCUAGGCAAAGGAGAACAAUAAGAGGCAGGUAAAGCUGGAGCCCGUAACAGGAAGAAACGUGAGCAUUGAAAACCCUCCCUUUGGAUGAACUGACCACAGCUGGACAACACCAGUGCCAGGCCAGGGUUCCAAGCACUGCAGAGAUGAAGCACCUUCUUCCAGCAGCUCCUGGAGUUCUCAGAAGCCAGAGUGGACUUGUUCCUCCAUUUUAUUUGAUGAGAGUUCUAAAUACAGUUGGGCAAGGCUUCGGAUAUUAGUGGGAGAUGGCCAGAGGCGAAGCAACGAUAAAAGCAGCUGAAU